AGCAGCCGCGGUAAUUCCAGCUCCAAUAGCGUAUAUUAAAGUUGUUGCAGUUAAAAAGCUCGUAGUUGAACUUCGGGAUUUACCCAUUGGUCAGGCUUAACUGUCUGUACUGGUGUGAUGAAUUCCUACCUUCUGAGGAAUCUCCAUGCCAUUCACUUGGUGUGGUGGGGAAUCAGGACUGUUACUUUGAAAAAUUAGAGUGUUUAAAGCAGGCUAACGUCUGAAUACAUUAGCAUGGAAUAAUAAAAUAGGACGGUUUGGUUCUAUUUUGUUGGUUUCUAGGAUCACCGUAAUGAUUAAUAGGGAUAGUUGGGGGCAUUAGUAUUCAAUUGUCAGAGGUGAAAUUCUUGGAUUUAUUGAAGACUAACUACUGCGAAAGCAUUUGCCAAGGAUGUUUUCAUUAAUCAAGAACGAAAGUUAGGGGAUCGAAGACGAUCAGAUACCGUCGUAGUCU
This 454-nucleotide small RNA is filed under the name uncultured Diversispora. RNAcentral's name for it is "SSU rRNA". It matches the Rfam family "Eukaryotic small subunit ribosomal RNA", at positions 569 to 1026 of the family's 1831-position model. Lineage: Eukaryota; Fungi; Glomeromycota; Glomeromycetes; Diversisporales; Diversisporaceae. The record is from RNAcentral.